AAGACUAUAGACCUGCGGAGUACCUGCGGAAGGAUCAUUACCGAGUGAGGGUCCUCGUGGCCCAACCUCCCAACCCUGUGUCUACCGUACCUUGUCGUUGCUUCGGCGGACCGGUUGCUGACCAACUGGUUUCAACCGCCGGGGGCCCUUCGCCCCUGGAGCGCGUCCGCCGAUGGCCCAACCACUUAACUCUUUGACCCGAAACCAGUGUCGUCUGAAAACACGUUUGUGAUGAAUACA
This 240-nucleotide unclassified non-coding RNA is filed under the name soil metagenome. RNAcentral's name for it is "partial contains 5.8S ribosomal RNA, internal transcribed spacer 2, and large subunit ribosomal RNA". The record is from RNAcentral.